CUAUGUAGGUUUUCAUAUCUGGUCAUCAAGUCCUCAAAUAAGGUCCCUUGGUCUUGGAUCUGCUGCAAGUCUUCCUCCAUAGCGGAUAGAGAAUUAACUAUCUUAUGAAAAAAUCUUCUAGCAUCUGCUACAGCCUCCUUCAAACAUAUUCGUUUAGUAUCCCGUAAAACCUUCUUUGAAGCAAUUGGCAAGGAGAUGUUAAAGAUGGACAUCGGAAAUACUCCAUCUAUUUUACAUUGCUCGAGAAAUUUCCAUUUUUCGAAUGCUCUCACCCUCUUUUGGCUUGCUUUCUCAAAACAUCUAAUAAGCUGGCUCUGUUUACUGGACUCUACAUGGGAAAAUGGUAAUGUAAUCGUGGCGUACGACUUUGAAGGUCUGUGCCCGUCCCUGAGGAUCAAACCGGUCUGCCUCCUCUUCUACAGGUUCCUCCUGGCCAGUGCGGCUGGCUUAUGUGUG
RNAcentral lists this long non-coding RNA (456 nucleotides) under Androctonus crassicauda. The record is from RNAcentral. Lineage: Eukaryota; Metazoa; Arthropoda; Arachnida; Scorpiones; Buthidae.